UNACGGAUGCGUGACGCGUAGUGUGACCUGCCUCUCGAGAUGGGGGAUAACCCCGUAGAAACCGGGGCUAAUACCCAAUAUUGUCUUAGCAUCGAAUGAUGACUGAGAUGAAAGCCUUUGGGCGCUCUAGGAGGGGCCUGCAGUCGGAUUAGCUAGUUGGUGGGGUAAUGGCCCACCAAGGCGACGAUCCGUAGCUGGUCUGAGAGGACGAGCCAGCCACACUGGAACUGAGACACGGGCCAGACUCCUACGGGAGGCAGCAGUGGGGAAUCUUGGGCAAUGGGCGAAAGCCUGACCCAGCCACGCCGCGUGGAGGAUGAAGCCCCUCGGGGUGUAAACUCCUUUUCUGGGGGAAGAAAUCCCGGCUGUUGUCGGUACUGACGGUACCCUUACAAUAAGC
This 400-nucleotide ribosomal RNA is filed under the name uncultured Rhodothermus sp. RNAcentral describes it as "bacterial SSU rRNA". It matches the Rfam family "Bacterial small subunit ribosomal RNA", at positions 100 to 491 of the family's 1533-position model. The record is from RNAcentral. Lineage: Bacteria; Pseudomonadati; Rhodothermota; Rhodothermia; Rhodothermales; Rhodothermaceae.